GCUCGGAUGGUGGAAUGGUAGACACAGGGGACUUAAAAUCCCUUGGCCUUACGGCCGUGCAGGUUCGAGUCCUGUUCCGAGCA
This 83-nucleotide transfer RNA is filed under the name Chlamydiales bacterium SCGC AG-110-P3. It matches the Rfam family "tRNA". From Rfam's summary of the family: Transfer RNA (tRNA) molecules are approximately 80 nucleotides in length. Their secondary structure includes four short double-helical elements and three loops (D, anti-codon, and T loops). Further hydrogen bonds mediate the characteristic L-shaped molecular structure. tRNAs have two regions of fundamental functional importance: the anti-codon, which is responsible for specific mRNA codon recognition, and the 3' end, to which the tRNAs corresponding amino acid is attached (by aminoacyl-tRNA synthetases). tRNAs cope with the degeneracy of the genetic code in two manners: having more than one tRNA (with a specific anti-codon) for a particular amino acid; and 'wobble' base-pairing, i.e. permitting non-standard base-pairing at the 3rd anti-codon position. The record is from Rfam by way of RNAcentral. Lineage: Bacteria; Pseudomonadati; Chlamydiota; Chlamydiia; Chlamydiales.